GUGCCAGCCGCCGCGGUAAAACGUAGGAGGCGAGCGUUAUCCGGAGUUACUGGGCGUAAAGAGCGUGUAGGCGGGUAUGCAAGUUUGGCGUGAAAGCUCCCGGCUAAACUGGGAGAGUGCGCUGAAGACUGCGUAUCUAGAGGCGAGUAGAGGGACGUGGAAUUCCGGGUGUAGUGGUGAAAUGCGUAGAGAUCCGGAGGAACACCAGUGGCGAAGGCGACGUCCUGGGCUUGACCUGACGCUGAGACGCGACAGCACGGGGAGCGAACGGGAUUAGAAACCCCGGUAGUCC
RNAcentral lists this ribosomal RNA (292 nucleotides) under uncultured bacterium. Its description in RNAcentral is "partial 16S ribosomal RNA". It matches the Rfam family "Bacterial small subunit ribosomal RNA", at positions 505 to 796 of the family's 1533-position model. The record is from RNAcentral.